UGCUGACAAACACAUUCUACCC
This 22-nucleotide non-coding RNA is filed under the name Rattus norvegicus (Norway rat). Lineage: Eukaryota; Metazoa; Chordata; Mammalia; Rodentia; Muridae. The record is from RNAcentral.